CCUACGGGUGGCAGCAGUGGGGAAUAUUGCACAAUGGGGGAAACCCUGAUGCAGCGACGCCGCGUGAGCGAUGAAGGCUUUCGGUAUGUAAAGCCCUAUCAGCAGGGAAGAAAAUGACGGUACCUGACUAAUAAGCCCCGGCUAACUCCGUGCCAGCAGCCGCGGUAAUACGGAGGGGGCAAGCGUUAUCCGGAUUUACUGGGUGUAAAGGGUGCGUAGACGGUCUAGCAAGCCAGAUGUGAAAUCCCGGGGCUUAACCCCGGGACUGCAUUUGGAACUGUAAGGCUAGAGUGUGGGAGAGGCAGGCGGAAUUCCUAGUGUAGGGGUGAAAUGCGUAGAUAUUAGGAGGAACACCAGUGGCGAAGGCGGCCUGCUUGACCAUGACUGACGUUGAGGCUCGAAAGCGUGGGGAGCAAACAGGAUUAGAUACCCGAGUAGUC
This 440-nucleotide ribosomal RNA is filed under the name uncultured bacterium. RNAcentral describes it as "partial 16S ribosomal RNA". It matches the Rfam family "Bacterial small subunit ribosomal RNA", at positions 338 to 795 of the family's 1533-position model. The record is from RNAcentral.